GGCGGACGGGUGAGUAACACGUGGGGAACCUAUCCAUCAGCGGGGGAUAACACUUGGAAACAGGUGCUAAUACCGCAUACGGCUUUUUUUCACCUGAAAGAAAGCCAAAGGUCACUGAUGGCUGGCCCCGCGGUGCAUUAGCCAGUUGGUGAGGUAACGGCUCACCAAAGCAACGAUGCAUAGCCGACCUGAGAGGGUGAUCGGCCACACUGGGACUGAGACACGGCCCAGACUCCUACGGGAGGCAGCAGUAGGGAAUCUUCGGCAAUGGACGCAAGUCUGACCGAGCAACGCCGCGUGAGUGAAGAAGGUUUUCGGAUCGUAAGCUCUGUUGUCAGCAAAGAUGACGGUAGCUGACCAGAAAGCCACGGCUAACUACGUGCCAGCAGCCGCGGUAAUACGUAGGUGGCAAGCGUUGUCCGGAUUUAUUGGGCGUAAAGCGAGCGCAGGCGGUGAUUUAAGUCUGAUGUGAAAGCCCCCAGCUCAACUGGGGAGGGUCAUUGGAAACCGGAUCACUUGAGUGCAGAAGAGGAGAGUGGAAUUCCAUGUGUAGCGGUGAAAUGCGUAGAUAUAUGGAGGAACACCAGUGGCGAAGGCGGCUCUCUGGUCUGUAACUGACGCUGAGGCUCGAAAGCGUGGGUAGCAAACAGGAUUAGAUACCCUGGUAGUCCACGCCGUAAACGAUGAGUGCUAAGUGUUGGAGCUUCAGUGCUGCAGUUAACGCAUUAAGCACUCCGCCUGGGGAGUACGACCGCAAGGUUGAAACUCAAAGGAAUUGACGGGGGCCCGCACAAG
RNAcentral lists this ribosomal RNA (795 nucleotides) under uncultured bacterium. RNAcentral's name for it is "bacterial SSU rRNA". It matches the Rfam family "Bacterial small subunit ribosomal RNA", at positions 97 to 929 of the family's 1533-position model. The record is from RNAcentral.